AAAUUGAAGAGUUUGAUCAUGGCUCAGAUUGAACGCUGGCGGCAGGCCUAACACAUGCAAGUCGAACGGUAACAGGAAGAAGCUUGCUUCUUUGCUGACGAGUGGCGGACGGGUGAGUAAUGUCUGGGAAACUGCCUGAUGGAGGGGGAUAACUACUGGAAACGGUAGCUAAUACCGCAUAACGUCGCAAGACCAAAGAGGGGGACCUUCGGGCCUCUUGCCAUCGGAUGUGCCCAGAUGGGAUUAGCUUGUUGGUGGGGUAACGGCUCACCAAGGCGACGAUCCCUAGCUGGUCUGAGAGGAUGACCAGCCACACUGGAACUGAGACACGGUCCAGACUCCUACGGGAGGCAGCAGUGGGGAAUAUUGCACAAUGGGCGCAAGCCUGAUGCAGCCAUGCCGCGUGUAUGAAGAAGGCCUUCGGGUUGUAAAGUACUUUCAGCGGGGAGGAAGGGAGUAAAGUUAAUACCUUUGCUCAUUGACGUUACCCGCAGAAGAAGCACCGGCUAACUCCGUGCCAGCAGCCGCGGUAAUACGGAGGGUGCAAGCGUUAAUCGGAAUUACUGGGCGUAAAGCGCACGCAGGCGGUUUGUUAAGUCAGAUGUGAAAUCCCCGGGCUCAACCUGGGAACUGCAUCUGAUACUGGCAAGCUUGAGUCUCGUAGAGGGGGGUAGAAUUCCAGGUGUAGCGGUGAAAUGCGUAGAGAUCUGGAGGAAUACCGGUGGCGAAGGCGGCCCCCUGGACGAAGACUGACGCUCAGGUGCGAAAGCGUGGGGAGCAAACAGGAUUAGAUACCCUGGUAGUCCACGCCGUAAACGAUGUCGACUUGGAGGUUGUGCCCUUGAGGCGUGGCUUCCGGAGCUAACGCGUUAAGUCGACCGCCUGGGGAGUACGGCCGCAAGGUUAAAACUCAAAUGAAUUGACGGGGGCCCGCACAAGCGGUGGAGCAUGUGGUUUAAUUCGAUGCAACGCGAAGAACCUUACCUGGUCUUGACAUCCACGGAAGUUUUCAGAGAUGGAAUGGUGCCUUCGGGAACCGUGAGACAGGUGCUGCAUGGCUGUCGUCAGCUCGUGUUGUGAAAUGUUGGGUUAAGUCCCGCAACGAGCGCAACCCUUAUCCUUUGUUGCCAGCGGUCCGGCCGGGAACUCAAAGGAGACUGCCAGUGAUAAACUGGAGGAAGGUGGGGAUGACGUCAAGUCAUCAUGGCCCUUACGACCAGGGCUACACACGUGCUACAAUGGCGCAUACAAAGAGAAGCGACCUCGCGAGAGCAAGCGGACCUCAUAAAGUGCGUCGUAGUCCGGAUUGGAGUCUGCAACUCGACUCCAUGAAGUCGGAAUCGCUAGUAAUCGUGGAUCAGAAUGCCACGGUGAAUACGUUCCCGGGCCUUGUACACACCGCCCGUCACACCAUGGGAGUGGGUUGCAAAAGAAGUAGGUAGCUUAACCUUCGGGAGGGCGCUUACCACUUUGUGAUUCAUGACUGGGGUGAAGUCGUAACAAGGUAACCGUAGGGGAACCUGCGGUUGGAUCACCUCCUUACCUUAAAGAAGC
RNAcentral lists this ribosomal RNA (1554 nucleotides) under Escherichia coli. RNAcentral describes it as "bacterial SSU rRNA". It matches the Rfam family "Bacterial small subunit ribosomal RNA". Lineage: Bacteria; Pseudomonadati; Pseudomonadota; Gammaproteobacteria; Enterobacterales; Enterobacteriaceae. The record is from RNAcentral.